GUGAAUAUAGUUUACAAAAACAUUAGACUGUGAAUCUAAAAACAGAAGCUAAAACCUUCUUAUUUACC
This 68-nucleotide transfer RNA is filed under the name Anomalurus derbianus. RNAcentral describes it as "tRNA-His". It matches the Rfam family "tRNA". Rfam says of the family: Transfer RNA (tRNA) molecules are approximately 80 nucleotides in length. Their secondary structure includes four short double-helical elements and three loops (D, anti-codon, and T loops). Lineage: Eukaryota; Metazoa; Chordata; Mammalia; Rodentia; Anomaluridae. The record is from RNAcentral.